Long non-coding RNA from Elgaria multicarinata webbii, 405 nucleotides. RefSeq lists it as uncharacterized. NCBI's taxonomy places the organism in Eukaryota, Metazoa, Chordata, Lepidosauria, Squamata, Anguidae. The transcript has 2 exons. The record is from RefSeq and is a predicted model, not a curated record.
UAUCCAACCAACAUGCCAAAGGGGUCGCGAUGGAUGGCAAUAAGCAGAACGUAUGGACUUCUAGGCACGGGGCAUCUUUUGGGAGUCAUAAAGAGAACCCAGGCUCCACCCAAGUAGAGGAUCACAACAAGAGCUAUGGAGCAGAUCCACUGUUCAGAGCAGUGGCGAUGCAAUGCUGCCAACCAUUCAAUUGUUUUAAAGGGCUUAGUUUCAAAUCCUGUGUGAAGUUAGCAUCGCUGCUGAUCCACUGCUUAACCAGCAGAAUUUGAAUAAAAUGACACUGGGCCUGAUGAAGUGGAAUACCUGGUUAGUUACCUUUUGGAUUUGAGACCUAUCAUUCCUGAUUGUUUCAGUAGAAAAUGCAGAAAGCAAGGAGAACUGUUUUAAUAAAACUGAAGCAAGCUA